GACGAACGCUGGCGGCGUGCCUAACACAUGCAAGUUGAGCGACGAACCAGGGCUUGCCCUGGGGCAAAGCAGCGAACGGGUGAGUAACACGUGGGUAACCUACCCCGAUAACCGGGACAACCCGAGGAAACUCGGGCUAAUACCGGAUGUGCUCACUGGACUUCGGUUCAGUGCGUAAAGGAAGCUUCGGCCUCCGUAUCGGGAGGGGCCCGCGGCCCAUUAGUUUGUUGGUGAGGUAACGGCUCACCAAGACCGCGAUGGGUAGCUGGUCUGAGGGGACGAUCAGCCACACUGGGACUGAGACACGGCCCAGACUCCUACGGGAGGCAGCAGUGGGGAAUCUUGCGCAAUGCGCGAAAGCGUGACGCAGCAACGCCGCGUGGGGGAAGAAGGCCUUCGGGUUGUAAACCCCUUUCAGGAGGGACGAAGGUUCGGCGGUGAAUAGCCGUCCGGACUGACGGUACCUCCACAAGAAGCCCCGGCUAACUACGUG
This 493-nucleotide ribosomal RNA is filed under the name uncultured bacterium. RNAcentral describes it as "partial 16S ribosomal RNA". It matches the Rfam family "Bacterial small subunit ribosomal RNA", at positions 28 to 507 of the family's 1533-position model. The record is from RNAcentral.